GUUGAAUUUUGACCAGCCCUCGUCGUGGAUCAAUAUUCAAGUUUACGGUGUCGGAAAACAGUAUAGUGAAUGAUACGAAAUUGAAAUUUUGAAACACAGAUUUCUUAGCAAACUAAAAAGAACUUUUUAAUUGACACGUUCACAAUUAUGAUAAUUUUAAAAUACCUACUUCUUAUUAUUGCGUACUUGAGUGUAACUCUAUCAAUCCCCGAGGACAACAGCCGACGAAAAUUCACAAAUUAUGGAUACCAAAAACGCAACUCGAAAUCUGCUCAGGCUAAGAAAAACGUGGACGUCUGGUUUUUGCAACUUGCAGAGACCGACAAUCGAUGGGGAAGGAAGUUUUUCGAGCAACCAGGAGGAGGGCGCAGUAUACGACAGCGUAUUUACCAGAUCGAAAACUAGAACUAUUUACUUUAUAGGUAAAGAGUUUACACUUGAAAUCGUCAUAUUGUCCCUUUCCUCACUAGCUGUCGUAUCCGAAAUUAUUUGUCGUAAUUUGGUAAGCUUAUGAUCAUAAUGAACUUUCAAAAGUGAAGAUUCUUCUUUUUACCGAAGUGCAAACGACGCGAGCGAAACUUUCUGGACAUCCACUCAAAAUUACUCGGCAGUUCUUCAACCUAAACGCAUGAAAUUUGAAAAAACACAUUGGAUAUAUAACUAGAUAUAGUAACUAUUUUUUCAGAUCUCAAAAGAGUAUGUUUGUUUUUUUUUCAAACAAGCCAACGUUUACUGGUCCCUUUUGGUCACACCUGUGAUGGUAAAGUCUUCAAAAGUACAUUACAACAUUGAAUGUUCUUAGGUAAAUUAAAAAUAAAAUAGCGAAAAGGCAUUUUUUAACUUUUUUUACAUAUCUGGUUGUAAAAUCCCAAGUCGUUAUCAUUUAUUUGUUUUGUUUGCUGCAGUAGUUACUAUUUGGCAUCAAGUAACCAGAAAUAGAGACGAAAUGUCAGUUAAUUUGUUUGAAAACUAUUCUGCCAAAUCAUUACGGUAACUGUGCUUCGAUUGGC
Molecule: long non-coding RNA, 1010 nt
Organism: Hyposmocoma kahamanoa
Lineage: Eukaryota; Metazoa; Arthropoda; Insecta; Lepidoptera; Cosmopterigidae
Exons: 3
Source: RefSeq, a predicted model, not a curated record